Molecule: ribosomal RNA, 956 nt
Filed under: Micrococcus endophyticus
Lineage: Bacteria; Bacillati; Actinomycetota; Actinomycetes; Micrococcales; Micrococcaceae
Description: bacterial SSU rRNA
Rfam family: Bacterial small subunit ribosomal RNA
Source: RNAcentral
UGCAAGUCGAACGAUGAAGCCCAGCUUGCUGGUGAUGGAUUAGUGGCGAACGGGUGAGUAACACGUGAGUAACCUGCCCUUGACUCUGGGAUAAGCCUGGGAAACUGGGUCUAAUACCGGAUAGGAACGUCCACCGCAUGGUGGUUGUUGGAAAGAUUUAUCGGUCAUGGAUGGACUCGCGGCCUAUCAGCUUGUUGGUGAGGUAAUGGCUCACCAAGGCGACGACGGGUAGCCGGCCUGAGAGGGUGACCGGCCACACUGGGACUGAGACACGGCCCAGACUCCUACGGGAGGCAGCAGUGGGGAAUAUUGCACAAUGGGCGAAAGCCUGAUGCAGCGACGCCGCGUGAGGGAUGACGGCCUUCGGGUUGUAAACCUCUUUCAGUAGGGAAGAAGCGAAAGUGACGGUACCUGCAGAAGAAGCACCGGCUAACUACGUGCCAGCAGCCGCGGUAAUACGUAGGGUGCGAGCGUUAUCCGGAAUUAUUGGGCGUAAAGAGCUCGUAGGCGGUUUGUCGCGUCUGUCGUGAAAGUCCGGGGCUUAACCCCGGAUCUGCGGUGGGUACGGGCAGACUAGAGUGCAGUAGGGGAGACUGGAAUUCCUGGUGUAGCGGUGGAAUGCGCAGAUAUCAGGAGGAACACCGAUGGCGAAGGCAGGUCUCUGGGCUGUAACUGACGCUGAGGAGCGAAAGCAUGGGGAGCGAACAGGAUUAGAUACCCUGGUAGUCCAUGCCGUAAACGUUGGGCACUAGGUGUGGGGACCAUUCCACGGUUUCCGCGCCGCAGCUAACGCAUUAAGUGCCCCGCCUGGGGAGUACGGCCGCAAGGCUAAAACUCAAAGGAAUUGACGGGGGCCCGCACAAGCGGCGGAGCAUGCGGAUUAAUUCGAUGCAACGCGAAGAACCUUACCAAGGCUUGACAUGUUCUCGAUCGCCGUAGAGAUACGGUUUCCCCUU